Molecule: ribosomal RNA, 867 nt
Filed under: Bacillus safensis
Lineage: Bacteria; Bacillati; Bacillota; Bacilli; Caryophanales; Bacillaceae
Description: bacterial SSU rRNA
Rfam family: Bacterial small subunit ribosomal RNA
Source: RNAcentral
UUCUGCUCAGGACGAACGCUGGCGGCGUGCCUAAUACAUGCAAGUCGAGCGGACAGAAGGGAGCUUGCUCCCGGAUGUUAGCGGCGGACGGGUGAGUAACACGUGGGUAACCUGCCUGUAAGACUGGGAUAACUCCGGGAAACCGGAGCUAAUACCGGAUAGUUCCUUGAACCGCAUGGUUCAAGGAUGAAAGACGGUUUCGGCUGUCACUUACAGAUGGACCCGCGGCGCAUUAGCUAGUUGGUGGGGUAAUGGCUCACCAAGGCGACGAUGCGUAGCCGACCUGAGAGGGUGAUCGGCCACACUGGGACUGAGACACGGCCCAGACUCCUACGGGAGGCAGCAGUAGGGAAUCUUCCGCAAUGGACGAAAGUCUGACGGAGCAACGCCGCGUGAGUGAUGAAGGUUUUCGGAUCGUAAAGCUCUGUUGUUAGGGAAGAACAAGUGCGAGAGUAACUGCUCGCACCUUGACGGUACCUAACCAGAAAGCCACGGCUAACUACGUGCCAGCAGCCGCGGUAAUACGUAGGUGGCAAGCGUUGUCCGGAAUUAUUGGGCGUAAAGGGCUCGCAGGCGGUUUCUUAAGUCUGAUGUGAAAGCCCCCGGCUCAACCGGGGAGGGUCAUUGGAAACUGGGAAACUUGAGUGCAGAAGAGGAGAGUGGAAUUCCACGUGUAGCGGUGAAAUGCGUAGAGAUGUGGAGGAACACCAGUGGCGAAGGCGACUCUCUGGUCUGUAACUGACGCUGAGGAGCGAAAGCGUGGGGAGCGAACAGGAUUAGAUACCCUGGUAGUCCACGCCGUAAACGAUGAGUGCUAAGUGUUAGGGGGUUUCCGCCCCUUAGUGCUGCAGCUAACGCAUUAAAGCA